Molecule: non-coding RNA, 73 nt
Organism: Habropoda laboriosa
Lineage: Eukaryota; Metazoa; Arthropoda; Insecta; Hymenoptera; Apidae
Source: Rfam
GAGUGGGUGGCGUAGUGGGUAAAGCCUCGGCUUGCUAAGCCGAAGGUCCCGGGUUCGAUUCCCGUUUGGGUCC